Molecule: transfer RNA, 72 nt
Filed under: Papilio machaon (common yellow swallowtail)
Lineage: Eukaryota; Metazoa; Arthropoda; Insecta; Lepidoptera; Papilionidae
Rfam family: tRNA
About the family: Transfer RNA (tRNA) molecules are approximately 80 nucleotides in length. Their secondary structure includes four short double-helical elements and three loops (D, anti-codon, and T loops).
Source: Rfam by way of RNAcentral
GCCUUGAACGUCCAGUGGUUAGGAAAUUACGUUGUGGCCGUAGUUACACAGGUUCGAAUCCUGGUCACGGCA